Molecule: ribosomal RNA, 253 nt
Filed under: uncultured bacterium
Lineage: Bacteria
Description: partial 16S ribosomal RNA
Rfam family: Bacterial small subunit ribosomal RNA
Source: RNAcentral
UACGUAGGGUGCAAGCGUUGUCCGGAAUUAUUGGGCGUAAAGAGCUCAUAGGCGGUUUGUCGCGUCUGCUGUGAAAACCCGAGGCUCAACCUCGGGCCUGCAGUGGGUACGGGCAGACUAGAGUGCGGUAGGGGAGACUGGAAUUCCUGGUGUAGCGGUGGAAUGCGCAGAUAUCAGGAGGAACACCGAUGGCGAAGGCAGGUCUCUGGGCCGCAACUGACACUGAGGAGCGAAAGCAUGGGGAGCGAACAGG